RNAcentral lists this ribosomal RNA (460 nucleotides) under uncultured bacterium. RNAcentral's name for it is "partial 16S ribosomal RNA". It matches the Rfam family "Bacterial small subunit ribosomal RNA", at positions 338 to 795 of the family's 1533-position model. The record is from RNAcentral.
CCUACGGGAGGCAGCAGUGAGGAAUAUUGGUCAAUGGACGAGAGUCUGAACCAGCCAAGUAGCGUGAAGGAUGACUGCCCUAUGGGUUGUAAACUUCUUUUAUAUGGGAAUAAAAUGUUCCACGUGUGGGAUUUUGUAUGUACCAUAUGAAUAAGGAUCGGCUAACUCCGUGCCAGCAGCCGCGGUAAUACGGAGGAUCCGAGCGUUAUCCGGAUUUAUUGGGUUUAAAGGGAGCGUAGGUGGGUUGUUAAGUCAGUUGUGAAAGUUUGCGGCUCAACCGUAAAAUUGCAAUUGAUACUGGCAGUCUUGAGUACAGUAGAGGUGGGCGGAAUUCGUGGUGUAGCGGUGAAAUGCUUAGAUAUCACGAAGAACUCCGAUUGCGAAGGCAGUUCACUAGACUGCCACUGACACUGAGGCUCGAAAGUGUGGGUAUCAAACAGGAUUAGAUACCCGAGUAGUC